GGGAGGCCUUGCGCCCCCGGGCCCGCGCCCGCCGAAGACCCCAACAUGAACGCUGUUCUGAAAGUAUGCAGUCUGAGUUGAUUAUCGUAAUCAGUUAAAACUUUCAACAACGGAUCUCUUGGUUCCGGCAUCGAUGAAGAACGCAGCGAAAUGCGAUAAGUAAUGUGAAUUGCAGAAUUCAGUGAAUCAUCGAGUCUUUGAACGCACAUUGCGCCCCCUGGUAUUCCGGGGGGCAUGCCUGUCCGAGCGUCAUUGCUGCCCUCAAGCACGGCUUGUGUGUUGGGCCCCCGCUCCCCCUCUCCCGGGGGACGGGCCCGAAAGGCAGCGGCGGCACCGCGUCCGGUCCUCGAGCGUAUGGGGCUUUGUCACCUGCUCUGUAGGCCCGGCCGGCGCCAGCCGACACCCAACUUUAUUUUUCUAAGGUUGACCUCGCGAUCAGGUAGGGAUACCCGCUGAACUUAAGCAUAUCAAUAAGCGGAGG
Molecule: ribosomal RNA, 481 nt
Filed under: Aspergillus fumigatus
Lineage: Eukaryota; Fungi; Ascomycota; Eurotiomycetes; Eurotiales; Aspergillaceae
Description: eukaryotic LSU rRNA
Rfam family: 5.8S ribosomal RNA (bases 99-252)
Source: RNAcentral